Molecule: ribosomal RNA, 697 nt
Filed under: Campylobacter jejuni
Lineage: Bacteria; Pseudomonadati; Campylobacterota; Epsilonproteobacteria; Campylobacterales; Campylobacteraceae
Also listed under: 1 other name
Description: bacterial SSU rRNA
Rfam family: Bacterial small subunit ribosomal RNA
Source: RNAcentral
CAUCUCAGUAAUGCAGCUAACGCAUUAAGUGUACCGCCUGGGGAGUACGGUCGCAAGAUUAAAACUCAAAGGAAUAGACGGGGACCCGCACAAGCGGUGGAGCAUGUGGUUUAAUUCGAAGAUACGCGAAGAACCUUACCUGGGCUUGAUAUCCUAAGAACCUUAUAGAGAUAUGAGGGUGCUAGCUUGCUAGAACUUAGAGACAGGUGCUGCACGGCUGUCGUCAGCUCGUGUCGUGAGAUGUUGGGUUAAGUCCCGCAACGAGCGCAACCCACGUAUUUAGUUGCUAACGGUUCGGCCGAGCACUCUAAAUAGACUGCCUUCGUAAGGAGGAGGAAGGUGUGGACGACGUCAAGUCAUCAUGGCCCUUAUGCCCAGGGCGACACACGUGCUACAAUGGCAUAUACAAUGAGACGCAAUACCGCGAGGUGGAGCAAAUCUAUAAAAUAUGUCCCAGUUCGGAUUGUUCUCUGCAACUCGAGAGCAUGAAGCCGGAAUCGCUAGUAAUCGUAGAUCAGCCAUGCUACGGUGAAUACGUUCCCGGGUCUUGUACUCACCGCCCGUCACACCAUGGGAGUUGAUUUCACUCGAAGCCGGAAUACUAAACUAGUUACCGUCCACAGUGGAAUCAGCGACUGGGGUGAAGUCGUAACAAGGUAACCGUAGGAGAACCUGCGGUUGGAUCACCUCCUUUCUA